RNAcentral lists this transfer RNA (73 nucleotides) under Trichonephila clavata. RNAcentral's name for it is "tRNA-Met". It matches the Rfam family "tRNA". Rfam says of the family: Transfer RNA (tRNA) molecules are approximately 80 nucleotides in length. Their secondary structure includes four short double-helical elements and three loops (D, anti-codon, and T loops). The record is from RNAcentral. Lineage: Eukaryota; Metazoa; Arthropoda; Arachnida; Araneae; Nephilidae.
GCCUCUGUAGAGCAGUAGGCAGCGCGUCAGUCUCAUAAUCUGAAGGUCGUGAGUUCGAACCUCACCCGGGGCA